Molecule: ribosomal RNA, 425 nt
Filed under: uncultured bacterium
Lineage: Bacteria
Description: partial 16S ribosomal RNA
Rfam family: Bacterial small subunit ribosomal RNA
Source: RNAcentral
GUGGGGAAUAUUGGGCAAUGGGCGAAAGCCUGACCCAGCAACGCCGCGUGAAGGAAGAAGGUUUUCGGAUCGUAAACUUCUAUCCUUGGUGAAGAUAAUGACGGUAGCCAAGAAGGAAGCCCCGGCUAACUACGUGCCAGCAGCCGCGGUAAUACGUAGGGGGCAAGCGUUGUCCGGAAUGAUUGGGCGUAAAGGGCGCGUAGGCGGCCCGGUAAGUCUGAAGUGAAAGUCCUGCUUUUAAGGUGGGAAUUGCUUUGGAUACUGUCGGGCUUGAGUGCAGGAGAGGUAAGCGGAAUUCCCGUUGUAGCGGUGAAAUGCGUAGAGAUCGGGAGGAACACCAGUGGCGAAGGCGGCUUACUGGACUGUAACUGACGCUGAGGCGCGAAAGUGUGGGGAGCAAACAGGAUUAGAAACCCUUGUAGUCC